CGAGUGGCGGACGGGUGAGUAACACGUGGGUAACCUGCCCUUAAGUGGGGGAUAACAUUUGGAAACAGAUGCUAAUACCGCAUAAAUCCAAGAACCGCAUGGUUCUUGGCUGAAAGAUGGCGUAAGCUAUCGCUUUUGGAUGGACCCGCGGCGUAUUAGCUAGUUGGUGAGGUAACGGCUCACCAAGGCAAUGAUACGUAGCCGAACUGAGAGGUUGAUCGGCCACAUUGGGACUGAGACACGGCCCAAACUCCUACGGGAGGCAGCAGUAGGGAAUCUUCCACAAUGGACGCAAGUCUGAUGGAGCAACGCCGCGUGAGUGAAGAAGGCUUUCGGGUCGUAAAACUCUGUUGUUGGAGAAGAAUGGUCGGCAGAGUAACUGUUGUCGGCGUGACGGUAUCCAACCAGAAAGCCACGGCUAACUACGUGCCAGCAGCCGCGGUAAUACGUAGGUGGCAAGCGUUAUCCGGAUUUAUUGGGCGUAAAGCGAGCGCAGGCGGUUUUUUAAGUCUGAUGUGAAAGCCCUCGGCUUAACCGAGGAAGUGCAUCGGAAACUGGGAAACUUGAGUGCAGAAGAGGACAGUGGAACUCCAUGUGUAGCGGUGAAAUGCGUAGAUAUAUGGAAGAACACCAGUGGCGAAGGCGGCUGUCUGGUCUGUAACUGACGCUGAGGCUCGAAAGCAUGGGUAGCGAACAGGAUUAGAUACCCUGGUAGUCCAUGCCGUAAACGAUGAAUGCUAGGUGUUGGAGGGUUUCCGCCCUUCAGUGCCGCAGCUAACGCAUUAAGCAUUCCGCCUGGGGAGUACGACCGCAAGGUUGAAACUCAAAGGAAUUGACGGGGGCCCGCACAAGCGGUGGAGCAUGUGGUUUAAUUCGAAGCAACGCGAAGAACCUUACCAGGUCUUGACAUCUUUUGAUCACCUGAGAGAUCAGGUUUCCCCUUCGGGGGCAAAAUGACAGGUGGUGCAUGGUUGUCGUCAGCUCGUGUCGUGAGAUGUUGGGUUAAGUCCCGCAACGAGCGCAACCCUUAUGACUAGUUGCCAGCAUUUAGUUGGGCACUCUAGUAAGACUGCCGGUGACAAACCGGAGGAAGGUGGGGAUGACGUCAAAUCAUCAUGCCCCUUAUGACCUGGGCUACACACGUGCUACAAUGGAUGGUACAACGAGUUGCGAGACCGCGAGGUCAAGCUAAUCUCUUAAAGCCAUUCUCAGUUCGGACUGUAGGCUGCAACUCGCCUACACGAAGUCGGAAUCGCUAGUAAUCGCGGAUCAGCACGCCGCGGUGAAUACGUUCCCGGGCCUUGUACACACCGCCCGUCACACCAUGAGAGUUUGUAACACCCGAAGCCGGUGGCGUAACCCU
Molecule: ribosomal RNA, 1363 nt
Filed under: Lacticaseibacillus rhamnosus
Lineage: Bacteria; Bacillati; Bacillota; Bacilli; Lactobacillales; Lactobacillaceae
Description: bacterial SSU rRNA
Rfam family: Bacterial small subunit ribosomal RNA
Source: RNAcentral